Pteropus alecto (black flying fox) is the source of this 733-nucleotide long non-coding RNA. RefSeq lists it as uncharacterized. The transcript is spliced from 2 exons. The record is from RefSeq and is a predicted model, not a curated record. Lineage: Eukaryota; Metazoa; Chordata; Mammalia; Chiroptera; Pteropodidae.
AUUCUAGACAGAGUGAGCUCUGAGUCAGGUUAAAUUAAAACAAGCCCUGUGAGUGGAGGCUUUUAGGGAACUUCCAGACAGGUCAAUAGUGACAAUUCCCUGGGGAUAGAGUGCUGGGGGAAUUCUGAACUCAUUGUGCCUCUUCCGGUGGCUGCUAGGCUGCUUGUUUUCCUGGUAACUGUGAUCGUGAAGCUUUUGGUUUUUAAGGUUUUCACAGAGCUGUGGAGAGGAGAUGCCUCUAGAGCAAGUUAAGAUGCAACAAAACUCACUAUUCUUAACAAGAUUCAGCUUUUUUUUUUUUUUUUUGAAUAGACGCUCCUCAAAUCGUUGCAAACCUUUAGUUAACUUCUAGAGUCCUGAAAAAAUUGUCACCAUUUUUGCCAGUGUUCUUAUUGCUUUUAUGGGGGAGUGGAUUUUUGGAGGUCUUUACUCCAUAAUUCUGGAAGUCGAUCCAGAUUAGGAAUUUUUAAUCCUAACAUUCUAUAAUUCUAAGCUCUGAGAUUCUUGUUUAUAUAAUUGGGAGGAGAAAACAACCACUUCUGCUUUAUCACCAAUAUGAGUAAUACUAAGAGGAAGAUCGUGAAGUACCCUAGGUGUCAGAGGAAACCUCUGCAAACAUAGGUCAUUAUCCCUUUGCAGAAUAUUCAGUUUAUCAAGGAGAACAUGCUAUAAUACUAUAUUUAUUUACCAUGUAGAAGUCACCCACUCCUACAGAGCUUUCAAGAAAAAAAAA